UGACGGUUGACGGGCGACGGUUGACGGUUGGGGUUUGAAUUCAGCGGCGCUUCCGCCCCCCCCCCACCGGAUGUGGCUGGAGG
Long non-coding RNA from Amblyraja radiata (thorny skate), 83 nucleotides. RefSeq lists it as uncharacterized. The record is from RefSeq and is a predicted model, not a curated record. The transcript has 3 exons. Lineage: Eukaryota; Metazoa; Chordata; Chondrichthyes; Rajiformes; Rajidae.